GAUGAACGCUGGCGGCGUGCCUAAUACAUGCAAGUCGAACGCUUCACUUCGGUGAAGAGUGGCGAACGGGUGAGUAAUACAUAAGUAACCUGACAUCUACAGGGGGAUAACUGAUGGAAACGUCAGCUAAGACCGCAUAGGUGUAGAGAUCGCAUGAACUCUAUAUGAAAAGUGCUACGGGACUGGUAGAUGAUGGACUUAUGGCGCAUUAGCUUGUUGGUAGGGUAACGGCCUACCAAGGCGACGAUGCGUAGCCGACCUGAGAGGGUGACCGGCCACACUGGGACUGAGACACGGCCCAGACUCCUACGGGAGGCAGCAGUAGGGAAUUUUCGGCAAUGGGGGAAACCCUGACCGAGCAACGCCGCGUGAAGGAAGAAGUAAUUCGUUAUGUAAACUUCUGUCAUAGAGGAAGAACGGUGGAUAUAGGGAAUGAUAUCCAAGUGACGGUACUCUAUAAGAAAGCCACGGCUAACUACGUG
This 482-nucleotide ribosomal RNA is filed under the name uncultured bacterium. RNAcentral's name for it is "partial 16S ribosomal RNA". It matches the Rfam family "Bacterial small subunit ribosomal RNA", at positions 28 to 507 of the family's 1533-position model. The record is from RNAcentral.